This 902-nucleotide long non-coding RNA is filed under the name Gallus gallus (chicken). Lineage: Eukaryota; Metazoa; Chordata; Aves; Galliformes; Phasianidae. The record is from RNAcentral.
CUGACAUAACAGCAUAACACCAACAUUGGAGUGUAUGGACUGACUGCACAGGGACCCACAUCGGCCUGUAUGGACUGACAGCACAGAGAUCAACAGUGGUCUGUAUGGACUGACUGCACAGAGACCCACAUCGGUCUGUAUGGACUGACAGCACAGAGACCAGCAUUGGUGUGUAUGGACUGACAUAACAGUGUGAUAACACCAAUGUCAGUCUGUACCCACUGAUAUAACAUCAUAACACCAACAUCAGUGUGUAUGGACUGCUAUAAUGCUGUGAUAACACCAAUGUCAGUCUGUGCCCAUUGAUAUAACACCGUGAUAACACCAACAUCAGUGUGUAUGGACUGAUAUAACGCUGUGAUAACACCAAUGUCAGUCUGUACCCACUGAUAUAACAUCAUAACACCAACAUCAGUGUGUAUGGACUGAUAUAACGCUGUGAUAACACCAAUGUCAGUCUGUGCCCAUUGAUAUAACACCGUGAUAACACCAACAUCAGUGUGUAUGGACUGAUAUAACGCUGUGAUAACACCAAUGUCAGUCUGUACCCACUGAUAUAACAUCAUAACACCAACAUCAGUGUGUAUGGACUGCUAUAAUGCUGUGAUAACACCAGUGUCAGUCUGUGCCCAUUGAUAUAACACCGUGAUAACACCAACAUCAGUGUGUAUGGACUGAUAUAACACCGUGAUACCACCAACGUCAGUCUGUAUGGACUGACAGCACAGAGACACCGACGUUGGUCUGUAAGGACUGACGUAACAGCAUGAAAGCACCAACAUCAGGCUGUACUGACUGACAUAACACCAUGAGGACACCAACAUCAGUCUGUUCCGACUGACACAACAGCAUGGCAGCACCAAUAUCGGCCUGUAUGGACUGCUGUAACACUGUGAUGGCCC